AGCGUAGACGGUGUGGCAAGUCUGAUGUGAAAGGCAUGGGCUCAACCUGUGGACUGCAUUGGAAACUGUCAUACUUGAGUGCCGGAGGGGUAAGCGGAAUUCCUAGUGUAGCGGUGAAAUGCGUAGAUAUUAGGAGGAACACCAGUGGCGAAGGCGGCUUACUGGACAGUAACUGACGUUGAGGCCCGAAAGCGUGGGAGCAAACA
RNAcentral lists this ribosomal RNA (206 nucleotides) under uncultured bacterium. RNAcentral's name for it is "partial 16S ribosomal RNA". It matches the Rfam family "Bacterial small subunit ribosomal RNA", at positions 568 to 774 of the family's 1533-position model. The record is from RNAcentral.